This 245-nucleotide long non-coding RNA is filed under the name Daucus carota (carrot). RNAcentral's name for it is "long non-coding RNA (DCAR_LNC001970)". The record is from RNAcentral. Lineage: Eukaryota; Viridiplantae; Streptophyta; Magnoliopsida; Apiales; Apiaceae.
UCACUCGAACUUUAGGAGUAGUUGGUGUUUAGCAUGUUUUCGAAAAGUAUAUAUAUGUAGUGUCUUUUAGAUAAUUUGAACGUAGUUGAGUAAGGUUGUCUUUUUGAAGCUUGUAUCGACCGAUUUGUACUCGUAAUUCCAAGAUGGCACACACUUUGCACAAGACCUUUGAUGGAGAGAUUGUCUAGUGAUAUUAUUCGAUACCUGAGAGAGAACCCACAUGUUGAAACAAUGUCGAAUCGAAC